UGGUACAGUAACGUCCUUGGUACACCCGAUCCCUCGAUCUCGGAAGUUAAGCAACGCGCGGUUCGGACAGUGCUUGGAUGGGGGACCAACCAAGGACGUCCGGAUUGCUGUAGCCU
RNAcentral lists this ribosomal RNA (116 nucleotides) under Branchiostoma floridae (Florida lancelet). Lineage: Eukaryota; Metazoa; Chordata; Leptocardii; Amphioxiformes; Branchiostomatidae. The record is from RNAcentral.